AGAAUCAACGCUGGCGGCGUGCCUAACACAUGCAAGUCGAACGCGAAAGGGGCGCAAGCCCUGAGUAGAGUGGCAAACGGGUGAGUAACACGUGGGUGACCUGCCUUCGAGUGGGGGAUAACGUUCCGAAAGGAACGCUAAUACCGCAUGACAUCCUGCGUUUGGAGACGCGGAGAUCAAAGCUGGGGAUCGCAAGACCUGGCGCUGGGAGAGGGGCCCGCGGGCUGAUUAGCUAGUUGGUGGGGUAAUGGCUCACCAAGGCGACGAUCAGUA
This 273-nucleotide ribosomal RNA is filed under the name uncultured soil bacterium. RNAcentral describes it as "partial 16S ribosomal RNA". It matches the Rfam family "Bacterial small subunit ribosomal RNA", at positions 26 to 285 of the family's 1533-position model. The record is from RNAcentral.